CAGUCGCCACGGGAAUACGAAGGGGGCUAGCGUUGUUCGGAAUUACUGGGCGUAAAGCGCACGUAGGCGGACAUUUAAGUCAGGGGUGAAAUCCCGGGGCUCAACCCCGGAACUGCCUUUGAUACUGGGUGUCUAGAGUAUGGAAGAGGUGAGUGGAAUUCCGAGUGUAGAGGUGAAAUUCGUAGAUAUUCGGAGGAACACCAGUGGCGAAGGCGGCUCACUGGUCCAUUACUGACGCUGGGGUGCGAAAGCGUGGGGAGCAAACAGGAUUAGAGACCCCCGUAGUCCCUGUCUCUUAACA
Molecule: ribosomal RNA, 301 nt
Filed under: uncultured bacterium
Lineage: Bacteria
Description: partial 16S ribosomal RNA
Rfam family: Bacterial small subunit ribosomal RNA
Source: RNAcentral